CCUACGGGUGGCAGCAGUGAGGAAUAUUGGUCAAUGGGCGCGAGCCUGAACCAGCCAAGUAGCGUGAAGGAUGACUGCCCUACGGGUUGUAAACUUCUUUUAUAAAGGAAUAAAGUGAGGCACGUGUGCCUUUUUGUAUGUACUUUAUGAAUAAGGAUAGGCUAACUCAGUGCCAGCAGCCGCGGUAAUACGGAGGAUCCGAGCGUUAGCCGGAUAUUCUGGGUGUAAAGGGAGGGUAGAUGGGGUGUUAAGUCAGUUGUGAAAGUUUGCGGCUCAACCGUAAAAUUUCAAUUGAUACUGGCAGUCUUGAGGACAGUUGAGGCAGGCGGAAUUCGUGGGGUAGCGGUGAAAUGCUUAGAUAUCACGAAGAACUCCGAUUGCGAAGGCAGCUUACUAAACUGCCACUGACAUUGAUGCUCGAAAGUGUGGGGAUCAAACAUGAUUAGAUACCCUUGUAGUC
RNAcentral lists this ribosomal RNA (460 nucleotides) under uncultured bacterium. RNAcentral describes it as "partial 16S ribosomal RNA". It matches the Rfam family "Bacterial small subunit ribosomal RNA", at positions 338 to 795 of the family's 1533-position model. The record is from RNAcentral.